AGCUAGUUGGUGGGGUAAGAGCCCACCAAGGCGACGAUCAGUAGCUGGUCUGAGAGGAUGAUCAGCCACACUGGGACUGAGACACGGCCCAGACUCCUACGGGAGGCAGCAGUGGGGAAUUUUCCGCAAUGGGCGAAAGCCUGACGGAGCAACGCCGCGUGAGGGAUGAAGGCCUCUGGGCUGUAAACCUCUUUUCUCAAGGAAGAAGACAUGACGGUACUUGAGGAAUAAGCCACGGCUAAUUCCGUGCCAGCAGCCGCGGUAAUACGGGAGUGGCAAGCGUUAUCCGGAAUUAUUGGGCGUAAAGCGUCCGCAGGCGGCCUUGUAAGUCUGUCGUUAAAGCGUGGAGCUCAACUCCAUUUAAGCGAUGGAAACUACAAGGCUGGAGUGUGGUAGGGGCAGAGGGAAUUCCCGGUGUAGCGGUGAAAUGCGUAGAUAUCGGGAAGAACACCAGUGGCGAAGGCGCUCUGCUGGGCCAUAACUGACGCUCAUGGACGAAAGCCAGGGGAGCGAAAGGGAUUAGAUACCCCUGUAGUCCUGGCCGUAAACGAUGAACACUAGGUGUCGGGGGAAUCGACCCCCUCGGUGUCGUAGCCAACGCGUUAAGUGUUCCGCCUGGGGAGUACGCACGCAAGUGUGAAACUCAAAGGAAUUGACGGGGGCCCGCACAAGCGGUGGAGUAUGUGGUCUAAUUCGAUGCAACGCGAAGAACCUUACCAGGGUUUGACAUCCUGCGAAUCCCUUGGAAACGAGGGAGUGCCUUCGGGAGCGCAGAGACAGGUGGUGCAUGGCUGUCGUCAGCUCGUGUCGUGAGAUGUUGGGUUAAGUCCCGCAACGAGCGCAACCCACGUCUUUAGUUGCCAGCAUUCAGUUGGGCACUCUAGAGAGACCGCCGGUGAUAAACCGGAGGAAGGUGUGGAUGACGUCAAGUCAUCAUGCCCCUUACAUCCUGGGCUACACACGUACUACAAUGCUACGGACAAAGGGCAGCAAGCUCGCGAGAGUAAGCAAAUCCCAUAAACCGUGGCUCAGUUCAGAUCGUAGGCUGCAACUCGCCUACGUGAAGGAGGAAUCGCUAGUAAUCGCAGGUCAGCAUACUGCGGUGAAUACGUUCCCGGGCCUUGUACACACCGCCCGUCACACCAUGGAAGUUGGCCAUGCCCGAAGUCGUUACUCCAACCCUUGUGGAGGAGGACGCCGAAGGUGGGGCUGAUGACUGGGGUGAAGUCGAAACAAGGUAGCCGUACCGAAGGUGCGGCUG
RNAcentral lists this ribosomal RNA (1261 nucleotides) under metagenome. RNAcentral's name for it is "bacterial SSU rRNA". It matches the Rfam family "Bacterial small subunit ribosomal RNA", at positions 243 to 1520 of the family's 1533-position model. The record is from RNAcentral.